Molecule: long non-coding RNA, 1569 nt
Filed under: Homo sapiens (human)
Lineage: Eukaryota; Metazoa; Chordata; Mammalia; Primates; Hominidae
Description: non-protein coding lnc-PKD2L1-1:3
Source: RNAcentral
CUUCUCAGCUUCUCUUCCACCCGCCGCUGGGCCUCUGCCCGGCAUCCCGCGUCGGGAGCUUUCUCUCUGGAAGGGGCUGGGGACCCGGUUUGGGGCUGGGGCGCGGAGCCUAGCCCAGGACCGGCCCUCGGGCACACGGAGAACGGGUGGGUGGGCACUGGGGAAGUUUCUCAGGAAACAGUGGUGAACCCUCGGGGGGCGCCCACCACUAACAUCUCCGUCCCGUCUUCCGUCCCCCCAGGCGCGUGGCAGGGAGACGUGGCAGCCACCCCAGGAUCUGGAGCUUGGGGGACGCGGGAAGCCCCGCCUCCCUCCCGGGCGAGCGCGGGGGACUCGGUACGCCUGCGAACAAUGGCUCUGCCCCGCCCACCAGCCACGCGCUGCUCACCCGGGACCGCACCGGACUCCGGCCGCACACACAGGCUGGCUGGUGUGUGUGUGCCUGCGCGCACGCAUCCUGUUCAGGACCCGGGCGGGCAGUCCCAUCCCCAAGCCCGCGCCUCCAGGAUGCGUGCGGGAUGUUUUGGAGAUUCUUCAGACUGGCAGGUUGUAAUUUUGGAAUCUUCUUUGUGGAAACCGUCAGGAAACACUGACAUGUGUUUUCACCCAGCAGCAGGCGAAAGGGCUUGGAUGUGGAAUAAGAAUAGCUGGCAGGUAUUGAAUUAUUACUGCAAGCCAAUUCACAAGAAUCGUUUUCUGUAAGCCUCUCUGUGACCCUGGGAGGUGGGUACCCCAUUAUUCCAUUUUAAAAGUGAGGAAAGAGAUAUGGAGAGAUGGAAUAACUUGCCCAUGGUCACAGCAACCAGUAAGUGAUGGAGCUGGCAGUUGAGCCCAGAAACACCAUAUGAGAGCCCAAGCUCUUAAUCCCUGCUCAGGACCAUAUUGCCCUCGGUCCCUGAGAUGCUCUGACCCUACUGAUCUGUCCCUGUGCCCCCAUCUUUUCCGUGUCUGUAGGAGCCUUACCAUGAGAGCUCAGAACCAGGCAGGCUAUGCAUUCACCCGGUGUCCUUCCAUGCCCAUGUCUUUCCCAAAUACUGCCCUAGGAUCCUUCCCCUGGGAAGAGGAGAAAAUACGGAGUGCUGCGCCAAUGAUUCACUUCCCAGGAAGACAAGCACCUGGGAUUUCCUGGGAGGUAGACUAAGCAGCUCCUUUGUUGGCCACUGGUCUCAGGGUCAGGCCAACUCUCUGGCCAGUGACCAGGAGACUGCAUUCCAGUCCUGGCUCCCUGUCCGGUGUGAAAGUUCUGAACAAGACUGGAUGAUUUCAGAUGUGGACAGCUCAUCCAGUCAUGCCUCAGAAGUACUUGGCAUGUGGCACAGAAAUCUGUACGUGGUCUGACCCCCUUCAGGUUCUCUCUGCAAUGUCUAAUUUGCUUAAUUCUUUUGUUUUUUGUUUUUUUGAGAGGAAGUCUCGCUCUCUCCCCCAGGCUGGAGUGCAGUGGUGUGAUCUCGCUUCACUGCAACCUCUGCCUCCCGGGUUCAAGAAAUUCUCCUGCCUCACCCUCCCAAGUAGCUGGGAUUACAGGCAUGCGCCACCACACUUAGCUAAUUUUUUGUAUUUUUAGUAGAG